This 301-nucleotide ribosomal RNA is filed under the name Blastocystis sp. subtype 6. Its description in RNAcentral is "bacterial SSU rRNA". It matches the Rfam family "Eukaryotic small subunit ribosomal RNA", at positions 52 to 370 of the family's 1831-position model. Lineage: Eukaryota; Bigyra; Opalinata; Blastocystidae. The record is from RNAcentral.
GAUCUGCUUGUGUAGUAUAAAUAGUUAACUUUGAAACUGCGAAUGGCUCAUUAUAUCAGUUAUAGUUUAUUUGAUGAAGAAUACUAAUUGGAUAACCGUAGUAAUUCUAGAGCUAAUACAUGUAUAAAGUCUUGUAGACUGCAUUUAUUAGAAUGAAAACCAUAGGUUUCGGCCUAUUCGUGAGUAAUAAUAACUAAUCAUAUCGUAUGCUUAAGUAACGAUGUGUCUUUCAAGUUUCUGCCCUAUCAGCUUUCGAUGGUAGUGUAUUGGACUACCAUGGCAGUAACGGGUAACGAAGAAA